This is a long non-coding RNA of Saccoglossus kowalevskii, 1002 nucleotides long. Lineage: Eukaryota; Metazoa; Hemichordata; Enteropneusta; Harrimaniidae. The record is from RefSeq and is a predicted model, not a curated record.
CAUGGCUGCGCCCUCGCAAACUAUGGGCCAGCAACAUUUGUCAACAGUACACAUAUCUCGUCUAUAGUUCGUAUAAGGCAUUGUUGUUGUUGUUGUUGGAAUUUGGUUAAUGGUAAUGUGACAGAAGAGCCAUGGGGAGGAAAGAUGCCCGCAGACAGCAAUUACAUGUAGAUCAGUACAGGAAAGAAAUUGGUAAUGAGGAGUAUAAAAAAACAAAGAAAGAAAUAAAAAAGGCCAGAAGUAAAGCUUUAGCUAAAGACGCUAACUGGAAUAUUAGGGAUGUGGCUAUGAUAUCAUUUGCGAUGUUAGUCCUGGUAUUUGCAGUGUAUGGAUUUUUUUUCAUCUAUCUGGAAUCUGACCCUCGUUCCUGAGAUACUGCCUCUACAUAUAUUUCAACACCCUGAUCACCUUUCUUGUAAUUUCUAAAACCCUGUUUCCAUGUUGUUUAUAUGUUUGUUUUUGUGCCAGUAUCUUAAAUGCACCCUUUGUAAAUUUGAUUAUUCAGGAGGGAGGGUGUAUCAAUUAAUAUCACUCAAAUAACCUAGAUAGAAACUUUAAACAUACUGCUAUCUAUUUCACAGCAUUACUAUCAAAACUAAUAUUUAAAUUAAUUAUGUCUCUUACAUCAAUUAUAUCUCUACAAGGAGAUAUACCAAAUGUUAUACAACAGGAAGUUGGAAUAACUUGUGUUAAUUUUUAAUACAUGUAUAUAUUUGUCUCAUUCUUUCAACUACCCAAGUAUUAUAAACUAGAUUUUCGUCAUGGCAUUUUGUUUUUUGGCAUUUUUGUACAAAUUCUAAUCCUUGAAACGAAAACACCAUGAUGAAAGUCUACUUAAUAAUAGUGGGGGAGUUGAAAGAAAAGAGAAAUAUAAAUAUUUAUUCCUAAUUAAAAAUUAACACAUCUUAUUCCAACUUUCUGUGGAUAUCCAUAACCAUUUGUGACAUUUAUUGACCUAGGUUUCAGGGUACCUUGAACAUUUCAUGUUCAUUUCUAUGCAUC